Molecule: ribosomal RNA, 408 nt
Filed under: uncultured bacterium
Lineage: Bacteria
Description: partial 16S ribosomal RNA
Rfam family: Bacterial small subunit ribosomal RNA
Source: RNAcentral
GACGAACGCUGGCGGCGUGCUUAACACAUGCAAGUAGAACGAAGUGGCGAACGGGGGAGUAAUACGUGGGUAACCUGCCCUCCUUUUUGGGAUAAGACUUGGAAACGGGGUCUAAUACCGAAUAAAGGGGGAUGGGCUCGCGGCCUAUCAGCUUGUUGGUGGGGUGAUGGCCUACCAGGGGGGUGACGGGUAGCCGGCCUGAGAGGGUGACCGGCCACAUUGGGACUGAGAUACGGCCCAGGCUCCUACGGGAGGCAGCAGUGGGGGAUAUUGCGCAAUGGGCGAAAGCCUGAUGCAGCGACGCCGCGUGGGGGAUGAAGGCUUUCGGGUUGUAAACCUCUUUCGCUCUCGAACGGGUAGGUUGAGAAGAAGCGCCGGCUAACUACGUGCCAGCCGCCGCGGUAAUUC